GACGAACGCUGGCGGCGUGCUUAACACAUGCAAGUCGAACGAUGAAGAAGAGAAACGCGAACUUCGGUUCAAAUUUCACUUCGGAUUAGUGGCAGACGGGUGAGUAACGCGUGAGCAACCUACCUCUUACAAAGGGAUAGCCUCGGGAAACCGUGAUUAAUACCAUAUGACACAUUCAUAAGGCAUCUUAAGAAUGUUAAAGCUACGGCGGUAAGAGAUGGGCUCGCGUCCCAUUAGCUAGUUGGUGAGGUAACGGCCCACCAAGGCGACGAUGGGUAACCGGGCUGAGAGGGUGAACGGUCACAUUGGAACUGAGACACGGUCCAAACUCCUACGGGAGGCAGCAGUGGGGAAUAUUGCAAAAUGGAGGGAACUAUGAUGCAGCGACGCCGCGUGAGCGAUGAAGGAAUUCGUUUAGUAAAGCUCUGUUCUAUGGGAAGAAAAGGACUGUACCAUAGGAGAAAGCCCCGGCUAAAUACGUG
Molecule: ribosomal RNA, 482 nt
Filed under: uncultured bacterium
Lineage: Bacteria
Description: partial 16S ribosomal RNA
Rfam family: Bacterial small subunit ribosomal RNA
Source: RNAcentral